Molecule: ribosomal RNA, 349 nt
Filed under: Deltaproteobacteria bacterium
Lineage: Bacteria; Pseudomonadati; Myxococcota; Myxococcia
Description: bacterial LSU rRNA
Rfam family: Bacterial large subunit ribosomal RNA
Source: RNAcentral
UCCCAAGGGUUGGGCUGUUCGCCCAUUAAAGCGGUACGCGAGCUGGGUUCAGAACGUCGUGAGACAGUUCGGUCCCUAUCUUCCGCGAGCGUAGGAAUCUUGAGGAGAUCUGUCCCUAGUACGAGAGGACCGGGAUGGACGGACCCCUGGUGUUCGGGUUGUCGCGCCAGCGGCACUGCCCGGUAGCCAUGUCCGGAACGGAUAACCGCUGAAAGCAUCUAAGCGGGAAGCCAACUCCAAGAUGAGGAUUCCCUGAAGGUCCGUCGAAGAUGACGACGUUGAUAGGCCGGAUGUGGAAGCGCAGCAAUGCGUGGAGCUAACCGGUACUAAUCGACCGUUCGGUUUGGCC